This 305-nucleotide ribosomal RNA is filed under the name uncultured bacterium. RNAcentral's name for it is "bacterial SSU rRNA". It matches the Rfam family "Bacterial small subunit ribosomal RNA", at positions 339 to 642 of the family's 1533-position model. The record is from RNAcentral.
CCUCGGGAGGCAGCAGUGAGGAAUAUUGGUCAAUGGCCGGAAGGCUGAACCAGCCAAGCCGCGUGAGGGAGGAAGGCGCAGAGCGUCGCAGACCUCUUUUGCCGGGGGACAAAAGGCCGGACUCGUCCGGUCCUGAGGGUACCCGGAGAAAAAGCAUCGGCUAACUCCGUGCCAGCAGCCGCGGUAAUACGGAGGAUGCGAGCGUUAUCCGGAUUUAUUGGGUUUAAAGGGUGCGCAGGCGGCACGGCAAGCCGGCGGUCAAAUCGCGGGGCUCAACCCCGCCCAGCCGUCGGAACUGCCGGGCU